This 283-nucleotide small nuclear RNA is filed under the name Sorex araneus (European shrew). RNAcentral describes it as "7SK RNA (ENSSARG00000019661.1)". It matches the Rfam family "7SK RNA". Rfam says of the family: 7SK was discovered as an abundant small nuclear RNA in the mid-70s but a possible function has only recently been suggested. Two independent studies have found that 7SK RNA binds the CDK9/cyclin T complex (known as elongation factor P-TEFb). Lineage: Eukaryota; Metazoa; Chordata; Mammalia; Eulipotyphla; Soricidae. The record is from RNAcentral.
GUCAUCUGGCUGAGACACCAGUCACCCCAUUGAUUACCAUGGUUUCUUUGGCUGUUCUGGCUCCCUAAGCAUGUGUCCCGUGCUCAUAGCUCAGAGCUCUGGGCUGGUCUAAGAGACUGGCUUUCCUUGACUGCAGAAGGAUCAUUCUUCCUUCGACGGUAUAUGAGUAGCGGAGGCUCCCUUGCUAGAAACUCCAAACAAGCUCACAAGUAUCUCAGUAAAAAUAAGGUUACAGAUUACUUAAUUUAAUUUCUUUUGUGAGCCAUACGUAGCUAUGCUCAGA